Molecule: long non-coding RNA, 875 nt
Filed under: Malus domestica (apple)
Lineage: Eukaryota; Viridiplantae; Streptophyta; Magnoliopsida; Rosales; Rosaceae
Description: long non-coding RNA (MDOM_LNC016415)
Source: RNAcentral
UUGUAUCGCACUUGACCAAGCCCGAAACUACAAGUAAGCUUCAAGUAAAAUUGAUACAUUACCUUGUGCAUCUUUAUCAAUUAAAGAUACCACCACUGGAUGGAGAAAAAGUACUUCUAGAGAAGAUGCCACAUCUACAUAUGAGACAUAUAAGGCAAGUGAAAAUGAUACCACACUUCAGUACUUAGAAGUUUCGUAAUUACUCAAUGGCUUGGAUCUUGCAAGUCCCCAACCGAGGAGCUUCCCUCACUCGGGAACUUAGGGGAGCACUGUUUGUACUAUACUUGACCAAUCCCAAAACUACUGAGCAUCGGUCAAUGUUAUACAAUCAAGGACCCAUAUUAGAUAACAAAUAAUUAGCUACACAAUGGUGGAGAAGAAAUAAUUAUAAUCAAAGUAGAUAACAAAUAAAUAAUACAAACAAAUAAUUACAAUGUAAAUUUGGGUAUAGUACAAACAAAUAAAUAAUAUAUUGUUACUUGAUCCGUGUAAUUUUCCCCACUUCGAAGAUUACUAUUAACUUGUGCCAAGGCGUCUCUCCAAAUAGUAAAUGAUUGGCUAAGUAAUUUCCAACGACUAGACAUCGAUUCUUAGGUUCUACUCCCACCCAUUUUCUCAAGAUAAUUGGUAUGAAUAAGACUCCACAUUUCUCGCAACUGCAUCUCAUUACCCGUACGCGAACUAUGAGUAACUUCAACCCAACUAGUACACAAUGCAACAUCUUCAAGAGACGUCCAAUUCGUACCUGCAUCAGUAGUCAUUAUGUUGAAAAAAAUUGGAUUGAAACUUUGAGAGAAAGAUAGGAAUGUGAUUGAAAGUAGUGUAGAACAUAUGAAAUUGUGGUGUAAGGUAGAUGAUAAUGAGAAGGUAUUUAU